RNAcentral lists this long non-coding RNA (428 nucleotides) under Homo sapiens (human). RNAcentral describes it as "long non-coding RNA NONHSAT083868.2". The record is from RNAcentral. Lineage: Eukaryota; Metazoa; Chordata; Mammalia; Primates; Hominidae.
UCUGUCUAUUUCUCCUGCAGAGUGAGCUGGACUUGGAAAAGGGCUUGGAGAUGAGAAAAUGGGUCCUGUCGGGAAUCCUGGCUAGCGAGGAGACUUACCUGAGCCACCUGGAGGCACUGCUGCUGCCAUGAAGCCUUUGAAAGCCGCUGCCACCACCUCUCAGCCGGUGCUGACGAGUCAGCAGAUCGAGACCAUCUUCUUCAAAGUGCCUGAGCUCUACGAGAUCCACAAGGAGUUCUAUGAUGGGCUCUUCCCCCGCGUGCAGCAGUGGAGCCACCAGCAGCGGUGCGCCACGUCUUCCUGUUCACCGACCUGCUUCUCUGCACCAAGCUCAAGAAGCAGAGCGGAGGAAAACGCAGCAGUAUGACUGCAAAUGGUACAUUCCGCUCACGGAUCUCAGCUUCCAGAUGGUGGAUGAACUGGAGGCA